GACGAACGCUGGCGGCGCGCUUAACACAUGCAAGUCGAACGGAAAGGCCCUGCUUUUGUGGGGUGCUCGAGUGGCGAACGGGUGAGUAACACGUGAGUAACCUGCCCUUGACUUUGGGAUAACUUCAGGAAACUGGGGCUAAUACCGGAUAGGAGCUCCUGCUGCAUGGUGGGGGUUGGAAAGCUUCGGCGGUUGGGGAUGGACUCGCGGCUUAUCAGCUUGUUGGUGGGGUAGUGGCUUACCAAGGCUUUGACGGGUAGCCGGCCUGAGAGGGUGACCGGCCACAUUGGGACUGAGAUACGGCCCAGACUUCUACGGGAGGCAGCAGUGGGGAAUAUUGCACAAUGGGCGGAAGCCUGAUGCAGCAACGCCGCGUGCGGGAUGACGGCCUUCGGGUUGUAAACCGCUUUCGCCUGUGACGAAGCGUGAGUGACGGUAAUGGGUAAAGAAGCACCGGCUAACUACGUGCCAGCAGCCGCGGUGAUACGUAGGGUGCGAGCGUUGUCCGGGUUUAUUGGGCGUAAAGGGCUCGUAGGUGGUUGAUCGCGUCGGAAGUGUAAUCUUGGGGCUUAACCCUGAGCGUGCUUUCGAUACGGGUUGACUUGAGGAAGGUAGGGGAGAAUGGAAUUCCUGGUGGAGCGGUGGAAUGCGCAGAUAUCAGGAGGAACACCAGUGGCGAAGGCGGUUCUCUGGGCCUUUCCUGACGCUGAGGAGCGAAAGCGUGGGGAGCGAACAGGCUUAGAUACCCUGGUAGUCCACGCUGUAAACGGUGGGUACUAGGUGUGGGGUCCAUUCCACGGGUUCCGUGCCGUAGCUAACGCUUUAAGUACCCCGCCUGGGGAGUACGGCCGCAAGGCUAAAACUCAAAGGAAUUGACGGGGCCCCGCACAAGCGGCGGAGCAUGCGGAUUAAUUCGAUGCAACGCGUAGAACCUUACCUGGGUUUGACAUGGAUCGGGAGUGCUCAGAGAUGGGUGUGCCUCUUUUGGGGUCGGUUCACAGGUGGUGCAUGCCUGUCGUCAGCUCGUGUCGUGAGAUGUUGGGUUAAGUCCCGCAACGAGCGCAACCCUUGUUCACUGUUGCCAGCACGUUAUGGUGGGGACUCAGUGGAGACCGCCGGGGUCAACUCGGAGGAAGGUGGGGAUGACGUCAAGUCCUCAUGCCCCUUAUGUCCAGGGCUUCACGCAUGCUACAAUGGCUGGUACAGAGAGUGGCGAGCCUGUGAGGGUGAGCGAAUCUCGGAAAGCCGGUCUCAGUUCGGAUUGGGGUCUGCAACUCGACCUCAUGAAGUCGGAGUCGCUAGUAAUCGCAGAUCAGCAACGCUGCGGUGAAUACGUUCCCGGG
RNAcentral lists this ribosomal RNA (1343 nucleotides) under uncultured bacterium. RNAcentral's name for it is "16S ribosomal RNA". It matches the Rfam family "Bacterial small subunit ribosomal RNA", at positions 28 to 1378 of the family's 1533-position model. The record is from RNAcentral.